Molecule: ribosomal RNA, 756 nt
Filed under: uncultured Lactococcus sp.
Lineage: Bacteria; Bacillati; Bacillota; Bacilli; Lactobacillales; Streptococcaceae
Description: bacterial SSU rRNA
Rfam family: Bacterial small subunit ribosomal RNA
Source: RNAcentral
GACGAACGCUGGCGGCGUGCCUAAUACAUGCAAGUUGAGCGCUGAAGGUUGGUACUUGUACCAACUGGAUGAGCAGCGAACGGGUGAGUAACGCGUGGGGAAUCUGCCUUUGAGCGGGGGACAACAUUUGGAAACGAAUGCUAAUACCGCAUAAAAACUUUAAACACAAGUUUUAAGUUUGAAAGAUGCAAUUGCAUCACUCAAAGAUGAUCCCGCGUUGUAUUAGCUAGUUGGUGAGGUAAAGGCUCACCAAGGCGAUGAUACAUAGCCGACCUGAGAGGGUGAUCGGCCACAUUGGGACUGAGACACGGCCCAAACUCCUACGGGAGGCAGCAGUAGGGAAUCUUCGGCAAUGGACGAAAGUCUGACCGAGCAACGCCGCGUGAGUGAAGAAGGUUUUCGGAUCGUAAAACUCUGUUGGUAGAGAAGAACGUUGGUGAGAGUGGAAAGCUCAUCAAGUGACGGUAACUACCCAGAAAGGGACGGCUAACUACGUGCCAGCAGCCGCGGUAAUACGUAGGUCCCGAGCGUUGUCCGGAUUUAUUGGGCGUAAAGCGAGCGCAGGUGGUUUAUUAAGUCUGGUGUAAAAGGCAGUGGCUCAACCAUUGUAUGCAUUGGAAACUGGUAUACUUGAGUGCAGGAGAGGAGAGUGGAAUUCCAUGUGUAGCGGUGAAUUGCGUAGAUAUAUGGAGGAAACACCGGUGGCGAAAGCGGCUCUCUGGCCUGUAACUGACACUGAGGCUCGAAUGCGUGUGG